Molecule: ribosomal RNA, 497 nt
Filed under: uncultured bacterium
Lineage: Bacteria
Description: partial 16S ribosomal RNA
Rfam family: Bacterial small subunit ribosomal RNA
Source: RNAcentral
GAUGAACGCUGGCGGCGUGCCUAAUACAUGCGAGUCGAGCGAACGGACGAGAAGCUUGCUUCUCUGAUGUUAGCGGCGGACGGGUGAGUAACACGUGGAUAACCUACCUAUAAGACUGGGAUAACUUCGGGAAACCGGAGCUAAUACCGGAUGAUAUUUUGAACCGCAUGGUUCAAAAGUGAAAGACGGUCUUGCUGUCACUUAUAGAUGGAUCCGCGCUGCAUUAGCUAGUUGGUAAGGUAACGGCUUACCAAGGCAACGAUGCAUAGCCGACCUGAGAGGGUGAUCGGCCACACUGGAACUGAGACACGGUCCAGACUCCUACGGGAGGCAGCAGUAGGGAAUCUUCCGCAAUGGGCGAAAGCCUGACGGAGCAACGCCGCGUGAGUGAUGAAGGUCUUCGGAUCGUAAAACUCUGUUACUAGGGAAGAACAUAUGUGUAAGUAACUGUGCACAUCUUGACGGUACCUAAUCAGAAAGCCACGGCUAACUACGUG